CCUACGGGUGGCAGCAGUGGGGAAUAUUGGGCAAUGGGCGCAAGCCUGACCCAGCAACGCCGCGUGAAGGAAGAAGGCUUUCGGGUUGUAAACUUCUUUUCUCAGGGACGAAGCAAGUGACGGUACCUGAGGAAUAAGCCACGGCUAACUACGUGCCAGCAGCCGCGGUAAUACGUAGGUGGCAAGCGUUAUCCGGAUUUACUGGGUGUAAAGGGCGUGUAGGCGGGAAAGGAAGUGAGAUGUGAAAGCCAUGGGCUUAACCUGUGGUCUGCAUUUGAAACUGGUUUGCUUGAGUACUGGAGGGGCAGACGGAAUUCCUAGUGUAGCGGUGAAAUGCGUAGAUAUGAGGAGGAACACCGGUGGCGAAGGCAGUCUGUUGGACAGGAACUGACGCUGAGGCGCGAAAGCGUGGGGAGCAAACAGGAUUAGAUACCCUAGUAGUC
Molecule: ribosomal RNA, 443 nt
Filed under: uncultured bacterium
Lineage: Bacteria
Description: partial 16S ribosomal RNA
Rfam family: Bacterial small subunit ribosomal RNA
Source: RNAcentral